Molecule: ribosomal RNA, 312 nt
Filed under: Triticum aestivum (bread wheat)
Lineage: Eukaryota; Viridiplantae; Streptophyta; Magnoliopsida; Poales; Poaceae
Description: partial small subunit ribosomal RNA
Source: RNAcentral
GUCCCGACGACGCGAGUCGUGGCGGGUUCCGCGCCGUGCUCGUAGAGGCGCGCGAGGCCGAAGUCGCCGAGCCGCGCGCUCAUGUCCGCGCCCAGCAGCACGUUGCUGGCCUUGACGUCGCGGUGCACCACCACCUGCUCCCACCCCUCGUGCAGGUACACCAGCCCGGACGCGACGCCCUUGAGGAUCCUCACACGCUGCUCCCACGUGAGCAACGCCGGCGACGGGGACACGCCGACGCCAGUGCCCGCACCGGCACGGGCACUGCCGAACAGGUGCGCGUCGAGGCUGCCGUUGGGCAUGAAGUCGUAG